UACGAAGGGGGCUAGCGUUGCUCGGAAUCACUGGGCGUAAAGGGAGCGUAGGCGGGUUUCUAAGUCAGGUGUUUAAUCCCGGGGCCCAACCCCGGACAGGCACUUGAAACUGGGAAUCUUGAAUAGUGGAGAGGUCAGUGGAAUUGGGGGUGUAGCGGUGGAAUGCGUAGAGAUCCCCAAGAACACCAGUUGCGAAGGCGGCUGACUGGACACAUAUUGACGCUGAGGCUCGAAAGCAUGGGGAGCAAACAGGG
This 254-nucleotide ribosomal RNA is filed under the name uncultured bacterium. Its description in RNAcentral is "partial 16S ribosomal RNA". It matches the Rfam family "Bacterial small subunit ribosomal RNA", at positions 524 to 777 of the family's 1533-position model. The record is from RNAcentral.